RNAcentral lists this ribosomal RNA (497 nucleotides) under uncultured bacterium. RNAcentral describes it as "partial 16S ribosomal RNA". It matches the Rfam family "Bacterial small subunit ribosomal RNA", at positions 28 to 507 of the family's 1533-position model. The record is from RNAcentral.
GAUGAACGCUGGCGGCGUGCCUAAUACAUGCAAGUCGAGCGAACGUACGAGAAGCUUGCUUCUCUGAUGUUAGCGGCGGACGGGUGAGUAACACGUGGAUAACCUACCUAUAAGACUGGGAUAACUUCGGGAAACCGGAGCUAAUACCGGAUAAUAUUUUGAACCGCAUGGUUCAAAAGUGAAAGACGGUCUUGCUGUCACUUAUAGAUGGAUCCGCGCUGCAUUAGCUAGUUGGUAAGGUAACGGCUUACCAAGGCAACGAUGCAUAGCCGACCUGAGAGGGUGAUCGGCCACACGGGAACUGAGACACGGUCCAGACUCCUACGGGAGGCAGCAGUAGGGAAUCUUCCGCAAUGGGCGAAAGCCUGACGGAGCAAAGCCGCGUGAGUGAUGAAGGUCUUCGGAUCGUAAAACUCUGUUAUUAGGGAAGAACAUAUGUGUAAGUAACUGUGCACAUCUUGACGGUACCUAAUCAGAAAGCCACGGCUAACUACGUG